UAAGUUGCUGGGGGAAACGCUUGCUUCGUGUUAACGCGCGGGCAAGAGGAACUUCCGGACUCCUUGAAGCAGCAGUGUCGUUAACGGCGACCUGGGGUGACCCAGAGAAAGUGCCACAGAGACUAUACCGCCGAACUUCGGUAAGGGUGAAAAGAGUGGGGUAAGAGCCCACAACACGCGCGGUGACGUGACGUGGAAGGUAAACCUACUGCGGAGCAACUUUAAGCAGAUGCGAUAGCAGCUUCACUUUAGCAUCGGGUAAAAGGCUCGAGGCGCUGAGUAAUUGGCGUCCUAGAUAAAUGUUUCCUGCCUGAAAGGGUACAAAAUCCGGGGUACAAGGCAACUUAUCAU
This 351-nucleotide RNase P RNA is filed under the name Candidatus Ancillula kalotermitis. Its description in RNAcentral is "RNase P RNA component class A". It matches the Rfam family "Bacterial RNase P class A". Rfam says of the family: Ribonuclease P (RNase P) is a ubiquitous endoribonuclease, found in archaea, bacteria and eukarya as well as chloroplasts and mitochondria. Its best characterised activity is the generation of mature 5'-ends of tRNAs by cleaving the 5'-leader elements of precursor-tRNAs. Lineage: Bacteria; Bacillati; Actinomycetota; Actinomycetes; Bifidobacteriales; Bifidobacteriaceae. The record is from RNAcentral.